RNAcentral lists this ribosomal RNA (469 nucleotides) under uncultured bacterium. Its description in RNAcentral is "bacterial SSU rRNA". It matches the Rfam family "Bacterial small subunit ribosomal RNA", at positions 34 to 498 of the family's 1533-position model. The record is from RNAcentral.
CGCUGGCGGCAGGCCUAACACAUGCAAGUCGAGCGGAUGAAGGGAGCUUGCUCCUGAAUUCAGCGGCGGACGGGUGAGUAAUGCCUAGGAAUCUGCCUGGUAGUGGGGGACAACGUUUCGAAAGGAACGCUAAUACCGCAUACGUCCUACGGGAGAAAGCAGGGGACCUUCGGGCCUUGCGCUAUCAGAUGAGCCUAGGUCGGAUUAGCUAGUUGGUGAGGUAAUGGCUCACCAAGGCGACGAUCCGUAACUGGUCUGAGAGGAUGAUCAGUCACACUGGAACUGAGACACGGUCCAGACUCCUACGGGAGGCAGCAGUGGGGAAUAUUGGACAAUGGGCGAAAGCCUGAUCCAGCCAUGCCGCGUGUGUGAAGAAGGUCUUCGGAUUGUAAAGCACUUUAAGUUGGGAGGAAGGGUUGUAGAUUAAUACUCUGCAAUUUUGACGUUACCGACAGAAUAAGCACCGGCU